UACAGAGACCUCAAGCGUUAUCCGGAUUAAUUGGGCGUAAAGGGCAGGUAGGUGGUUUUAUUAGUCGGAUGUUAAAACCAGUCGCUCAACGACUGACGGGCAUUCGAAACGGUAAAACUCGAGAAUGUGAGAGAUCAGUGGAAUUCAUGGUGUAGUAGUGAAAUGCGUUGAUAUCAUGAAGAACACCCAAGGCGAAGGCAACUGAUAGGCACAUUUCUGACACUCAACUGCGAAAGCGUGGGUAGCGAAUGGG
RNAcentral lists this ribosomal RNA (253 nucleotides) under uncultured bacterium. RNAcentral's name for it is "partial 16S ribosomal RNA". It matches the Rfam family "Bacterial small subunit ribosomal RNA", at positions 524 to 776 of the family's 1533-position model. The record is from RNAcentral.